UUACGGCCAUAUCAUGUUGAAACACUGGUUCUUGCAUGAUCACUGAAGUUAAGCAACAUUGAGCCUGGUCAGUACCUAGAUGGAUGAACACUUGGGAAUACCAGGUGUUGUAAG
This 114-nucleotide ribosomal RNA is filed under the name Acanthosepion pharaonis. The record is from RNAcentral. Lineage: Eukaryota; Metazoa; Mollusca; Cephalopoda; Sepiida; Sepiidae.